UACGUAGGGGGCAAGCGUUUUCCGGAAUUAUUGGGCGUAAAGCGCGCGCAGGCGGUGCGUUAAGUCGGAUGUGAAAGGCUACGGCUCAACCGUAGAGCUGCAUCCGAAACUGGCGGACUUGAGUGCAGGAGAGGGGAGUGGAAUUCCCGGUGUAGCGGUGGAAUGCGUAGAGAUCGGGAGGAACACCAGUGGCGAAGGCGACUCUCUGGCCUGUAACUGACGCUGAGGCGCGAAAGCGUGGGGAGCAAACAGG
This 253-nucleotide ribosomal RNA is filed under the name uncultured bacterium. Its description in RNAcentral is "partial 16S ribosomal RNA". It matches the Rfam family "Bacterial small subunit ribosomal RNA", at positions 524 to 776 of the family's 1533-position model. The record is from RNAcentral.